CCUACGGGUGGCAGCAGUGAGGAAUAUUGGUCAAUGGGCGCGAGCCUGAACCAGCCAAGUCGCGUGAGGGAAGACGGUCCUAUGGAUUGUAAACCUCUUUUGUCGGGGAGCAAAAGACGCCACGCGUCGCGUUCCGAGAGUACCCGAAGAAAAAGCAUCGGCUAACUCCGUGCCAGCAGCCGCGGUAAUACGGAGGAUGCGAGCGUUAUCCGGAUUUAUUGGGUUUAAAGGGUGCGCAGGCGGAAGAUUAAGUCAGCGGUAAAAUUGAGGGGCUCAACCUCGUCGAGCCGUUGAAACUGGUUGUCUUGAGUGAGUGAGAAGUAUGCGGAAUGCGUGGUGUAGCGGUGAAAUGCAUAGAUAUCACGCAGAACUCCGAUUGCGAAGGCAGCAUACCGGCGCUCAACUGACGCUCAUGCACGAAAGUGUGGGUAUCGAACAGGAUUAGAUACCCCAGUAGUC
RNAcentral lists this ribosomal RNA (459 nucleotides) under uncultured bacterium. RNAcentral describes it as "partial 16S ribosomal RNA". It matches the Rfam family "Bacterial small subunit ribosomal RNA", at positions 338 to 795 of the family's 1533-position model. The record is from RNAcentral.